Molecule: ribosomal RNA, 386 nt
Filed under: uncultured bacterium
Lineage: Bacteria
Description: bacterial SSU rRNA
Rfam family: Bacterial small subunit ribosomal RNA
Source: RNAcentral
AUUGAACGCUGGCGGCAUGCUUUACACAUGCAAGUCGAACGGUAACAGGGAGCUUGCUCCGCUGACGAGUGGCGAACGGGUGAGUAAUGCAUCGGAACGUACCGUGUAAUGGGGGAUAACGUAGCGAAAGUUACGCUAAUACCGCAUACGCCCUGAGGGGGAAAGCGGGGGAUCGUAAGACCUCGCGUUAUACGAGCGGCCGAUGUCGGAUUAGCUAGUUGGUGGGGUAAAGGCCUACCAAGGCGACGAUCCGUAGCGGGUCUGAGAGGAUGAUCCGCCACACUGGGACUGAGACACGGCCCAGACUCCUACGGGAGGCAGCAGUGGGGAAUUUUGGACAAUGGGGGCAACCCUGAUCCAGCCAUGCCGCGUGAGUGAAGAAGGCC